AGAGUUUGAUCCUGGCUCAGGAUGAACGCUAGCGGCAGGCUUAAUACAUGCAAGUCGUGGGGCAGCAGGGGUAGCAAUACCCGCUGGCGACCGGCAAACGGGUGCGGAACACGUACGCAACCUUCCUUUAACUGGAGAAUAGCCCCUCGAAAGAGGGAUUAAUACUCCGUAACAUGUACAUGUGGCAUCACAAGUACAUUAUAGCUCCGGCGGUUAAAGAUGGGCGUGCGCCUGAUUAGAUAGUUGGCGGGGUAACGGCCCACCAAGUCUGCGAUCAGUAACUGGUGUGAGAGCACGACCAGUCACACGGGCACUGAGACACGGGCCCGACUCCUACGGGGGGCAGCAGUAAGGAAUAUUGGUCAAUGGACGCAAGUCUGAACCAGCCAUGCCGCGUGGAGGAUUAAGGCCCUCUGGGUUGUAAACUCCUUUUAUCUGGGAAGAAAUCCGGGAAUUCGUUUCCGGUUGACGGUACCAGAGGAAUAAGCACCGGCUAACUCCGUGCCAGCAGCCGCGGUAAUACGGAGGGUGCAAGCGUUAUCCGGAUUCACUGGGUUUAAAGGGUGCGUAGGCGGGCAGGUAAGUCCG
Molecule: ribosomal RNA, 588 nt
Filed under: uncultured Bacteroidota bacterium
Lineage: Bacteria; Pseudomonadati; Bacteroidota
Description: bacterial SSU rRNA
Rfam family: Bacterial small subunit ribosomal RNA
Source: RNAcentral